UACGGGGGGGGCAAGCGUUGUUCGGAAUUACUGGGCGUAAAGGGCUCGUAGGGGGCCAACUAAGUCAGACGUGAAAUCCCUCGGCUUAACCGGGGAACUGCGUCUGAUACUGGAUGGCUUGAGUUUGGGAGAGGGAUGCGGAAUUCCAGGUGUAGCGGUGAAAUGCGUAGAUAUCUGGAGGAACACCGGUGGCGAAGGCGGCAUCCUGGACCAACACUGACACUGAGGAGCGAAAGCCAGGGGAGCAAACGGG
This 253-nucleotide ribosomal RNA is filed under the name uncultured bacterium. RNAcentral describes it as "partial 16S ribosomal RNA". It matches the Rfam family "Bacterial small subunit ribosomal RNA", at positions 524 to 776 of the family's 1533-position model. The record is from RNAcentral.